AAAUAGAUGUGUAACAUUACUUUUUAGGUCGGCGGUGUCUGCUGAAAGUCAUCUUUAGGUCAUUUUAUGUAGAAUAUUGAAUUUCUGAUCCGUGUGAAAGAAAGAGAAAGAGAUAUAUAAAUAAUUCCGUCUUUAUUGCUCCACAUGUAUUAUUGUGCAAUUUAACUGCGAUAAGACUUCGCUACAUUUCGGGUGAAUGAUGAACAGUGCCUUCGGCUAAUAAUAGGAUGGUUCUUGUUAUUUCGUUAUUUGCAUUUUGUCGGUGUAGUAUGAAUGAAGGAGAUCGGUUUGUUUAACAUUAUUUCUAAUUAAUACGAGUGUCUUGAAGAUAAAAUUUGAAAGUGAAGCUAGAAGAAUUCUGAAGUACCUGUUGUGAUGAUUCAGUCUAGAUCCAAAGCAGUUGUGUACAUAAGGCUUCAGCGACAAGAAGAAAGUAAAAGGAUUUUCGUUUGAUUAAGGAUUCAUGAAAGGUCAAUCAUGGAUAACAGCAAGGAGAAGUAGAAUAUGUAUUGCAGCAAUUGAGCCAAUUGGGAAAUUAGAUAGCAGCUGGAUGUUUUUUCUUCUUUGUUUGACAAUUGAUUGAAGAUAAACUAGUGAGGAGAUUGAAAUUAAUUUUGAUGCUACUGAAAAAAACAAGUUGUCUCCGUCCUAUGUUGAUAACUUUCAAUCUUGAAGUACUUUUAAAUUAUGAGGCAUCGGUUGUAUUAGUCUUCAUUUGCUCCAGAAAGUAGCUGCACCUAUGGUCCCAAGAAAAGCAUGAAACUGCCUUUUUUUCCAUUGGGAAUGGAGACGGUGGCUGUUGCUGAGGAUAUGAUUUAUGACAAUGAACUAGUAUGUAAAAGUAUCAAUUAAAAACAGUAAGUGAGGUCCCUGAAAUUUAAUUUUUUAGACAUUUGUAACUUGCUUCAAUAGACAACAUUUAAACAACAUUUUAGAUGUGGCAGAUGCAGAGUUAAUGUGGAACAGAUCUUUUCAUAAGUGUGAAUGUUACUGAUUUACUUGUUUUAAAAGUGGUAAUUAAUUACUUUUUCUUGCCCGUCUCUAUAGAUUUUCUAACAAGUGAGAAGGAAUUAACUUUGGUGCUACUUAAACAACCGUCGCUUUUGAUGAGAGAUAAUUAAUGUUCAUAGUGAAACAGCCAAAUUCUACAUGGGCGUUGUCUUUCAUUUUGAUGCUACUGAAAAAAUAAGUUGUCUCCUUCCUAUGGCGUUUUAUCUGUUCCAUCUUGAAGGCUGUUAUAGUUAACUGAUUAAGAAUUUAUUCUACAAGAACAUUAGAAGAACUCAAGAUACCAUUAACUUAUGGAGCACUGGUUGUAUUAGUCCUCAUUUGCUAUAGAAAAUAGAUGUACUUGUGGUCUUAAGGAAAGCAUGAAAGUGCCUUUUUUCCAUUGGGAGAGGAGACAGUGUGCUAAAGAAAGGAUUUAUGACAAUGAACUGAUCUUCCAAUAACAGAAGGAAUUAAUUCUGGUGGUACUAAAACAACUGACGCUCUUGAUGUCUUCACCUUACAGCAUGAAGUACUUAAUUUUGGCAUUGAGAAUGGGAGGCAAUUGUACAUUAAUUCGGAAGCUACUGGAACAGCAAAUUAUCUUCAGUGGUUUGUAGAUUUGGUUUGCCUAUCGUACUGGUAGACUUUAGAAUGCUACUUUCAACAACUAAUUCAGAAUAUAUUGAUAUUUGUCAUUCAUCUAUGGAUUUCUGUUUAGCCUUCAUCUAUUAUCCGCAUAAUAAAUUGACGUCGUGUUAUUUGACAUUUAUCUAUGUCGGGAUCUGUGGUUGUGAUACAAAAUAUGAAAAUAACGUUUGUCAUUUAAUGACUUAACUGUUUUACUUGCUUUUUGGUUAUCCAACAGAUGAGAGAGAAUUAAUGUUCAGUUUGGUCAUACUGAAACAGCCGAUGUCUACAUGGGCGUUGUCUUUCGUGGAGUAUAUUUGCUGUUUUGUCCUCAUCUUGCAACAUUAUGCAGUCAAUUUUCAAUCGACGAGUGAGAGCAACUGGAGAUUUAUUCGAAUUCCACUGAAACAACAAAUUUUCUGCCAUGGUAUUUCUCCUGAAGUUGGUUUGCUUUUCACACCUGCAAACUUUGAAACAUUACAUCCUACAGUUAAUAAAGAUCGACGUUGGAGAAGACAGAGAUGACCCCAUAGUUAA
RNAcentral lists this unclassified non-coding RNA (2154 nucleotides) under Agrilus planipennis (emerald ash borer). RNAcentral describes it as "uncharacterized LOC108737052, transcript variant X5". The record is from RNAcentral. Lineage: Eukaryota; Metazoa; Arthropoda; Insecta; Coleoptera; Buprestidae.